This 301-nucleotide ribosomal RNA is filed under the name uncultured bacterium. RNAcentral's name for it is "partial 16S ribosomal RNA". It matches the Rfam family "Bacterial small subunit ribosomal RNA", at positions 509 to 807 of the family's 1533-position model. The record is from RNAcentral.
CAGUAGCCGCGGUAAUACGAAGGGGGCUAGCGUUGUUCGGAUUUACUGGGCGUAAAGCGCACGUAGGCGGAUCCUUAAGUCAGAGGUGAAAUCCCAAGGCUCAACCUUGGAACUGCCUUUGAUACUGAGGAUCUCGAGUUCGGGAGAGGUGAGUGGAACUGCGAGUGUAGAGGUGAAAUUCGUAGAUAUUCGCAAGAACACCAGUGGCGAAGGCGGCUCACUGGCCCGAUACUGACGCUGAGGUGCGAAAGCGUGGGGAGCAAACAGGAUUAGAGACCCCUGUAGUCCCUGUCUCUUAUAC